GAUGAACGCUGGCGGCGUGCCUAAUACAUGCAAGUCGAGCGAACAGACGAGGAGCUUGCUCCUCUGACGUUAGCGGCGGACGGGUGAGUAACACGUGGAUAACCUACCUAUAAGACUGGGAUAACUUCGGGAAACCGGAGCUAAUACCGGAUAAUAUAUUGAACCGCAUGGUUCAAUAGUGAAAGACGGUUUUGCUGUCACUUAUAGAUGGAUCCGCGCCGCAUUAGCUAGUUGGCAAGGUAACGGCUUACCAAGGCAACGAUGCGUAGCCGACCUGAGAGGGUGAUCGGCCACACUGGAACUGAGACACGGUCCAGACUCCUACGGGAGGCAGCAGUAGGGAAUCUUCCGCAAUGGGCGAAAGCCUGACGGAGCAACGCCGCGUGAGUGAUGUAGGUCUUCGGAUCGUAAAACUCUGUUAUUAGGGAAGAACAAAUGUGUAAGUAACUAUGCACGUCUUGACGGUACCUAAUCAGAAAGCCACGGCUAACUACGUG
Molecule: ribosomal RNA, 497 nt
Filed under: uncultured bacterium
Lineage: Bacteria
Description: partial 16S ribosomal RNA
Rfam family: Bacterial small subunit ribosomal RNA
Source: RNAcentral